UGGGUACAGGGGAUGGGUACAGGGGAUGGGUACAGGGGGAUGGGUACAGAUGGGUACAGAGGGAUGGGUACAGAUAGGUACAGAGGGAUGGGUACAGGUAGAUGGGUACAGGUGGAUGGGUACAGGUGGAUGGGUACAGGUGGAUGGGUACAGAUAGGUACAGGUGGAUGGGUACAGGUGGAUGGGUACAGGGGGAUGGGUACAGAUAGGUACAGGUGGAUGGGUACAGGUGGAUGGGUACAGGUGGAUGGGUACAGGGGGAUGGGUACAGAUAGGUACAGGUGGAUGGGUACAGGUGGAUGGGUACAGGUGGAUGGGUACAGGGGGAUGGGUAACAUCUGAUGUCCCUCUAAUCACUCUGACGUCAAUGUAAAUGUAAUGGAAUAUCUAAUCAAACACUUCAUGAGAGACCAUGAGCUCAUGUUGCGCAGAAGGGAAAUAAACAAUACAAAAAAUGUACAGUAAACAUUACACUCACAAAAGUUCCAAAAUAAUAAAGACAUUUCAAAUGUUAUAUUAUGUGCAAAUAGUUAAAGUACAAAAGGGAAAAUAAAUCAACAUAAAUAUGGGUUGUAUUUACAAUGGUGUUUGUUCUUCACUGGUUGCCCUUUUCUUUGUGACAACAGGCUACACAUCUUGCUGCUGUGAUGGCACACUGUGGUAUUUCACACAAUAGAUAUGGGAGUUUAUCAAAAU
This 696-nucleotide long non-coding RNA is filed under the name Salmo salar (Atlantic salmon). RNAcentral's name for it is "lncRNA (ENSSSAG00000111342.1)". Lineage: Eukaryota; Metazoa; Chordata; Actinopteri; Salmoniformes; Salmonidae. The record is from RNAcentral.